ACACAUGCAAGUCGAGCGGAUGAAGAGAGCUUGCUCUUUGAUUCAGCGGCGGACGGGUGAGUAAUGCCUAGGAAUCUGCCUGAUAGUGGGGGACAAGGUUUCGAAAGGAACGCUAAUACCGCAUACGUCCUACGGGAGAAAGCAGGGGACCUUCGGGCCUUGCGCUAUCGAGAUGAGCCUAGGUCGGAUUAGCUAGUUGGUGAGGUAAGUGGCUCACCAGGGCGACGAUCCGUAGCUGGUCUGAGAGGAUGAUCAAUCACACUGGAACUGAGACACGGGCCAGACUCCUACGGGAGGCAGCGGUGGGGAAUAUUGGACAAUGGGCGAAAGCCUGAUCCAGCCAUGCCGCGUGUGUGAAGAAGGUCUUCGGAUUGUAAAGCACUUUAAGUUGGGAGGAAGGGCAUUAACCUAAUACGUUAGUGUUUUGACGUUACCGACAGAAUAAGCACCGGCUAACUUCGUGCCAGCAGCCGCGGGAAUACGAAGGGUGCAAGCGGUGAUCGGAAUUACUGGGCGUAAAGCGCGCGUAGGUGGUUUGUUAAGUUGAAUGUGAAAGCCCCGGGCGCACCUGGGAACUGCAUCCGAAACUGGAAGCUAGAGUAUGGAAGAGGGUGGUGGAAUUUGUUGUGUAGGGGGAAAUGGUAGAUAUAGGAAGGAACACCAGGGGCGAAGGCGACCACCGGGGCCGAAACGGACACGGAGGAGCGAAAGCGGGGGGAGCAAGCGGGAUUAGAUGCCCUGGGAAGCCCCGCCGGAAACGA
RNAcentral lists this ribosomal RNA (761 nucleotides) under Pseudomonas sp. C1W-16. Its description in RNAcentral is "bacterial SSU rRNA". It matches the Rfam family "Bacterial small subunit ribosomal RNA", at positions 51 to 809 of the family's 1533-position model. The record is from RNAcentral. Lineage: Bacteria; Pseudomonadati; Pseudomonadota; Gammaproteobacteria; Pseudomonadales; Pseudomonadaceae.